AUUGAACGCUGGCGGCAGGCCUAACACAUGCAAGUCGAACGGUAACAGGAAGAAGCUUGCUUCUUUGCUGACGAGUGGCGGACGGGUGAGUCAUGUCUGGGAAACUGCCUGCUGGAGGGGGAUAACUACUGGAAACGGUAGCUACUACCGCAUAACGUCUCAAGACCAAAAAGGGGGACCUUCGGGCCUCUUGCCAUCGGAUGUGCCCAGAUGGGAUUCGCUAGUAGGUGGGGUAACGGCUCACCUAGGCGACGAUCCCUAGCUGGUCUGAGAGGAUGACCAGCCACACUGGAACGGAGACACGGUCCAGACUCCUACGGGAGGCAGCAGUGGGGAAUAUUGCACAAUGGGCGCAAGCCUGAUGCAGCCAUGCCGCGUGUAUGAAGAAGGCCUUCGGGUUGUAAAGUACUUUCAGCGGGGAGGAAGGGAGUAAAGUUAAUACCUUUGCUCAUUGACGUUACCCGCAGAAGAAGCACCGGCUAACUCCGUG
RNAcentral lists this ribosomal RNA (490 nucleotides) under uncultured bacterium. Its description in RNAcentral is "partial 16S ribosomal RNA". It matches the Rfam family "Bacterial small subunit ribosomal RNA", at positions 30 to 507 of the family's 1533-position model. The record is from RNAcentral.